AACGCGAAGAACCUUACCUGGGUUUGACAUCCCCGGACCGCCCUAGAGAUAGGGUUUCCCCUUCGGGGGCCGGGAGACAGGUGCUGCAUGGCUGUCGUCAGCUCGUAUCGUGAGAUGUCGGGUUAAGUCCCUUAACGAGCGCAACCCUUGUCCCUUGUUGCCAUCAUUCAGUUGGGCACUCCAGGGAGACCGCCGGUGUUAAACCGGAGGAAGGUGGGGAUGACGUCAAGUCCUCAUGGCCUUUAUAUCCAGGGCUACACACGUGCUACAAUGGCCGAUACAAAGGGUUGCUAACCCGCGAGGGGGAGCUAAUCUCAUAAAGUCGGUCUCAGUUCGGAUUGAAGUCUGCAACUCGACUUCAUGAAGCUGGAAUCGCUAGUAAUCGCGGAUCAGAACGCCGCGGUGAAUACGUUCCCGGGCCUUGUACACACCGCUCGCGA
RNAcentral lists this ribosomal RNA (440 nucleotides) under uncultured bacterium. Its description in RNAcentral is "bacterial SSU rRNA". It matches the Rfam family "Bacterial small subunit ribosomal RNA", at positions 958 to 1399 of the family's 1533-position model. The record is from RNAcentral.